RNAcentral lists this long non-coding RNA (205 nucleotides) under Panax ginseng (ginseng). Its description in RNAcentral is "long non-coding RNA (PGIN_LNC001172)". Lineage: Eukaryota; Viridiplantae; Streptophyta; Magnoliopsida; Apiales; Araliaceae. The record is from RNAcentral.
UAGAACGAUGAUAACCAGCGAAGAGGAAAAAAUACGGACAAAGGCGGUAACCACUCGGGUGGUAAUCGUGGUCAUGAUAAUAAGAGAUGUGAGUCAAGUGGAAAUUUUAGAAAGAGGAGAUUUAACAAUGACGGGAAGACAUCAACAGCAGCACCAGCACCAACAACAAAUUCUAGGGGAGGAGAACGAUCGCCAGUUAGAUGUU